Molecule: ribosomal RNA, 433 nt
Filed under: uncultured bacterium
Lineage: Bacteria
Description: partial 16S ribosomal RNA
Rfam family: Bacterial small subunit ribosomal RNA
Source: RNAcentral
GACGAACGCUGGCGGCAUGCCUAACACAUGCAAGUCGAACGAGACCUUCGGGUCUAGUGGCGCACGGGUGCGUAACGCGUGGGAACCUGCCCUUAGGUUCGGAAUAACUCCCCGAAAGGGGUGCUAAUACCGGAUAAUGUCUUCGGACCAAAGAUUUAUCGCCUUUGGAUGGGCCCGCGUUGGAUUAGCUAGUUGGUAGGGUAAAAGCCUACCAAGGCGACGAUCCAUAGCUGGUCUGAGAGGAUGAUCAGCCACACUGGGACUGAGACACGGCCCAGACUCCUACGGGAGGCAGCAGUGGGGAAUAUUGGACAAUGGGCGAAGGCCUGAUCCAGCAAUGCCGCGUGAGUGAUGAAGGCCUUAGGGUUGUAAAGCUCUUUUACCCGGGAUGAUAAUGACAGUACCGGGAGAAUAAGCUCCGGCUAACUCCGUG